UACAGAGGGUGCGAGCGUUGUUCGGAAUUAUUGGGCGUAAAGGGCGCGUAGGCGGUGCGGUAAGUCACCUGUGAAAUCUCCUGGCUCAACUGGGAGCUUGCAGGCGAAACUGCCGUGCUGGAGUGUGGGAGAGGUGCGUGGAAUUCCUGGUGUAGCGGUGAAAUGCGUAGAUAUCAGGAAGAACACCUGUGGCGAAAGCGGCGCACUGGACCACAACUGACGCUGAGGCGCGAAAGCUAGGGGAGCAAACAGG
RNAcentral lists this ribosomal RNA (253 nucleotides) under uncultured bacterium. Its description in RNAcentral is "partial 16S ribosomal RNA". It matches the Rfam family "Bacterial small subunit ribosomal RNA", at positions 524 to 776 of the family's 1533-position model. The record is from RNAcentral.